Molecule: transfer RNA, 85 nt
Filed under: Felis catus (domestic cat)
Lineage: Eukaryota; Metazoa; Chordata; Mammalia; Carnivora; Felidae
Rfam family: tRNA
About the family: Transfer RNA (tRNA) molecules are approximately 80 nucleotides in length. Their secondary structure includes four short double-helical elements and three loops (D, anti-codon, and T loops).
Source: Rfam by way of RNAcentral
GCCUGAGUGGCUCAGUCGGUUAAGCGUCCGUCUUUGGCUCAGGUCAUGAUCUUGCAGUUUGUGGGUUCGAGCCCCACGUCAGGCU